AGCACCGGGUUGUCGUAGGUGACCUGCGGUAGGUCAUUACUGAGUGAGGGCCCUCUGGGUCCAACCUCCCACCCGUGUUUAUUGUACCUUGUUGCUUCGGCGGGCCCGCCUUUAUGGCCGCCGGGGGGCUUACGCUCCCGGGCCCGCGCCCGCCGAAGACACCCUCGAACUCUGUCUGAAGAUUGUAGUCUGAGUGAAAAUAUAAAUUAUUUAAAACUUUCAACAACGGAUCUCUUGGUUCCGGCAUCGAUGAAGAACGCAGCGAAAUGCGAUACGUAAUGUGAAUUGCAGAAUUCAGUGAAUCAUCGAGUCUUUGAACGCACAUUGCGCCCCCUGGUAUUCCGGGGGGCAUGCCUGUCCGAGCGUCAUUGCUGCCCUCAAGCACGGCUUGUGUGUUGGGCCCCGUCCUCCGAUCCCGGGGGACGGGCCCGAAAGGCAGCGGCGGCACCGCGUCCGGUCCUCGAGCGUAUGGGGCUUUGUCACCCGCUCUGUAGGCCCGGCCGGCGCUUGCCGAUCAACCAAAAUUUUUUCCAGGUUGACCUCGGAUCAGGUAGGGAUACCCGCUGAACUUAAGCUAUAAA
This 581-nucleotide ribosomal RNA is filed under the name Penicillium concentricum. RNAcentral's name for it is "eukaryotic LSU rRNA". The stretch from base 215 to 368 matches the Rfam family "5.8S ribosomal RNA". Lineage: Eukaryota; Fungi; Ascomycota; Eurotiomycetes; Eurotiales; Aspergillaceae. The record is from RNAcentral.